AGGUAACGAGCAGCCUGCUGCAGUUUCCAGAGGUGACUGUUGAGGCAUUUGGGGAAGAUGAGAGAAGCCUAGAUUCUGUGCUGCGUGGGAAGUUUUCCAGAGCCUGAGUGCAAACAGAAGGAAGAGGACAGCCCUGUUGAGCGCUGCCGCCAGAUUUGCAAAGCAUUUCCUGGGAUGCGGUGCAGAAUGCGAGCCCUAACGGCUCAGGUAACGAGCAGCCUGCUGCAGUUUCCAGAGGUGACUGUUGAGGCAUUUGGGGAAGAUGAGAGAAGCCUAGAUUCUGUGCUGCGUGGGAAGUUUUCCAGAGCCUGAGUGCAAACAGAAGGAAGAGGACAGCCCUGUUGAGCGCUGCCGCCAGAUUUGCAAAGCAUUUCCUGGGAUGCGGGGAGAGAUGGGCUGGCCUGGCUGGCGUGUGGCCCUCAGCUGGAGGCAGUGAGCGCUGUGCCGGGGGAGCGGCUCUCUGCACACCGUUUCAGUGGAGUCCGUGAGCAGCCUCCCACCGCCCGUGUGGUGCUGCACAAUGCCGUUUCGGGAACAGCUUUGGAGCGUCACUGUGUCGGGAGGUGUUUUCCCUGUAUUGCGUCACCACGCCGUCACGGCAGAGUCUCCAGUCGAGAGCACCUUGAUGUACAGUGGUGGGCUUAAAGGACCCAGGGGCUCACUUCUGAAUGGGAAGAAUAUGAAGAAGCCUUGGGGGGGAAAGUUGGCUGUUGUGUGAUCAAGGUUAUGAGUGUUGGAAUAAAGCCAAAGCUUCUCUGAGUUUUUGUUGUUGUGCCCUGACGAGUGCCCUUGAGUACGAGCGUGCUUGGUCCGUUGCUUUCCUUUUGCUUCCCGUCUUUUUGCCCUUAUUGGAUGAGUGAGAUGAGCAUGGACAGGGCACAGGUAUUGCUCGUUGGGCUGUGAGCUUCCAAGUGGUGAGUGGGGGUCAGGGUGAGCGAAACCAAGGAGACAAACUGGCACUUGGCCACUGCCCCUGUGUUUUGAAUUUAUUCUGUAACCCCUCCUUCCAGAUCUGGACGUGACAGAACAUGGGGUUUUAAUCUGCCUGAAUGUCUGGUUGCCACACGGACUCUUUUUAAAAGCAAAACGCAGCUCUAGUCUUAACAUCACUCUCUGCAGUUUUUGUCGCUCCUGUAUGAAGGCUUCAAGGAGCACCUUAAUUUCUGGACUCUUUUCCGUGUGGGUCUGUCUUCUGUGGGCAGCUAAGUUGUACAGGUUAACACUGACUUAGAGGGACUCUGGUGCAAGGUGUCAAGCCAUUGGUGGAUUAACACAGGGUAUUUAUAGUGGCUUGUGUGCCUGCCUUUUAGUGUAGGGGUAGCUGUGUGGUCAUUCAGAGAGUAAAGGAAUGGGAUUAAAAAGCCAAACUCAGAAGCGUAGAAAGAAUUUGGUGGGGGGCAUUUGUUUUCUUUUCCUUUUUUCAUUUUCUUUCUCUUUUUCUUUUUUUUUAUUUUUCUGGGAUCAUCUCUUAUUCCCUUUGGAUAGGCAUGUGAAAUGCAGCAGGAAACUGAAACUGUGAGUGGAGGAGUAUUUGAAUAGUAU
This is a non-coding RNA of Phalacrocorax carbo (great cormorant), 1542 nucleotides long. Lineage: Eukaryota; Metazoa; Chordata; Aves; Suliformes; Phalacrocoracidae. The record is from RefSeq and is a predicted model, not a curated record.